GACGAACGCUGGCGGCGUGCUUAACACAUGCAAGUCGAACGGAGCGAAUGAAAGCUUGCUUUUAUAAGCUUAGUGGCAAACGGGUGAGUAACACGUAGACAACCUGCCGACAGGAUGGGGACAACAUUCCGAAAGGAAUGCUAAUACCGAAUGAAGUGCAGGGGAGGCAUCUCCCCUGCAUGAAAGAUGGCCUCUGAAUAUGCUAUUACCUGUUGAUGGGUCUGCGUCUGAUUAGCUGGUAGGUGAGGUAACGGCUCACCUAGGCGACGAUCAGUAGCCGGUCUGAGAGGAUGAACGGCCACAUUGGGACUGAGACACGGCCCAGACUCCUACGGGAGGCAGCAGUGGGGAAUCUUCCGCAAUGGGCGCAAGCCUGACGGAGCAACGCCGCGUGAGUGAAGAAGGUCUUCGGAUCGUAAAAGCUCUGUUGAUGGGGGACGAAACGUGCCCUAAAUGCGAAAUAGUUUAAGG
Molecule: ribosomal RNA, 471 nt
Filed under: Centipeda noxia
Lineage: Bacteria; Bacillati; Bacillota; Negativicutes; Selenomonadales; Selenomonadaceae
Description: bacterial SSU rRNA
Rfam family: Bacterial small subunit ribosomal RNA
Source: RNAcentral